This 386-nucleotide ribosomal RNA is filed under the name Escherichia coli. RNAcentral describes it as "partial 23S ribosomal RNA". It matches the Rfam family "Bacterial large subunit ribosomal RNA", at positions 1041 to 1425 of the family's 2925-position model. The record is from RNAcentral. Lineage: Bacteria; Pseudomonadati; Pseudomonadota; Gammaproteobacteria; Enterobacterales; Enterobacteriaceae.
AAGGUCCCAAAGUCAUGGUUAAGUGGGAAACGAUGUGGGAAGGCCCAGACAGCCAGGAUGUUGGCUUAGAAGCAGCCAUCAUUUAAAGAAAGCGUAAUAGCUCACUGGUCGAGUCGGCCUGCGCGGAAGAUGUAACGGGGCUAAACCAUGCACCGAAGCUGCGGCAGCGACGCUUAUGCGUUGUUGGGUAGGGGAGCGUUCUGUAAGCCUGUGAAGGUGUGCUGUGAGGCAUGCUGGAGGUAUCAGAAGUGCGAAUGCUGACAUAAGUAACGAUAAAGCGGGUGAAAAGCCCGCUCGCCGGAAGACCAAGGGUUCCUGUCCAACGUUAAUCGGGGCAGGGUGAGUCGACCCCUAAGGCGAGGCCGAAAGGCGUAGUCGAUGGGAAA